This is a non-coding RNA of Pelobates cultripes (western spadefoot toad), 90 nucleotides long. The record is from the annotation of a GenBank genome assembly. Lineage: Eukaryota; Metazoa; Chordata; Amphibia; Anura; Pelobatidae.
UGUGUGUGUGUGUUUGUUAGUGUGUGUGUGUUAGUGUGUGUGUGUUAGGGUGUGUGUUAACACACACACGCUAACACACACACACACACU